Molecule: ribosomal RNA, 253 nt
Filed under: uncultured bacterium
Lineage: Bacteria
Description: partial 16S ribosomal RNA
Rfam family: Bacterial small subunit ribosomal RNA
Source: RNAcentral
UACGAAGGGGGCGAGCGUUGUUCGGAAUUACUGGGCGUAAAGCGCGCGCAGGCGGUUCUUUAAGUCUGAUGUGAAAGCCCACGGCUCAACCGUGGAGGGUCAUUGGAAACUGGAGAACUUGAGUACAGAAGAGGAAAGCGGAAUUCCACGUGUAGCGGUGAAAUGCGUAGAGAUGUGGAGGAACACCAGUGGCGAAGGCGGCUUUCUGGUCUGUAACUGACGCUGAGGCGCGAAAGCGUGGGGAGCAAACAGG